Molecule: long non-coding RNA, 617 nt
Organism: Apis cerana (Asiatic honeybee)
Lineage: Eukaryota; Metazoa; Arthropoda; Insecta; Hymenoptera; Apidae
Source: RefSeq, a predicted model, not a curated record
AUAUCUUGAGUCCUUUAUUUUACAUUUGUAUAUUUUGUAAUUUGCAAUGAAAUUGAGAAAAAUAACGCUUCCAUUACAUUUUUAUACUUUGAUGAUUAAUCAUUUAAUUAAAACUAUUUAUUUGAUUAUCGCGCGAGAGAUUGUAGAUGUCACCAGAGCACGAAAAAGUGAUUCCAUCUAGUGAGAUUAAAGGAAAACAGAGAAUCUAUUAUUUAGUAACGUAUAAAGGAAAAGUGGGGGAGCGGCGCGAGGAAGAAAAUGGCCGACAAGGCAACGGUAAAAGGGCAGGGACGUCUAGUGAGAUUCGUGUUUUGGAAGAAAGAAAUGUGAAAUUCGUGUUAGGUCUCGUAGAAGCAGACGGAAAGUAUUAAUAAAACGAUCGUGUUAUUGUUUUUUUUUUUUAGUGGUGUGUUUAAGUAAAAUAUUACCAGAGUAGUCUAUUGUAUUUGUAUAUUAAUUUAUUGUUUAAAAAAGAGUUCGCGGGCCGUGUGUAGGAAUAAAAGGGCUCGCUAGAGUGUAUAAGUCUGGCAAAAUUUCGUACGUGACAAAUUCAUCGAUCAGUAGAGUAGGUUUAUGUUAGCCACUUGUGGCCAUCUACGGAUACAUUUAAAAGGUAU